Molecule: transfer RNA, 75 nt
Filed under: Schistocerca americana (American grasshopper)
Lineage: Eukaryota; Metazoa; Arthropoda; Insecta; Orthoptera; Acrididae
Description: tRNA-Thr
Source: RNAcentral
GCCCGCGGUGGCUCAGAUGGAUAGAGCGUCUGCCAUGUAAGCAGAAGAUCCCGGGCUCGAGUCCCGGUCGGGGCA